GCCAGACUCCUACGGGAGGCAGCAGUGGGGAAUAUUGGGCAAUGGAGGAAACUCUUACCCAGCAAUGCCGCGUGAAUGGAGAAGGUCUUCGGAUUGUAAAGUUCUUUAAUUGGGGACGAAAAAAAUGACGGUACCCAAGGAAUAAGCCCCGGCUAACUACGUGCCAGCAGCCGCGGUAAUACGUAGGGGGCAAGCGUUAUCCGGAUUUACUGGGUGUAAAGGGAGCGUAGACGGUAUGGCAAGUCUGAAGUGAAAGCCCAGGGCUUAACCCUGGGACUGCUUUGGAAACUGUUAGACUAGAGUGCUGGAGAGGUAAGUGGAAUUCCUAGUGUAGCGGUGAAAUGCGUAGAUAUUAGGAGGAACACCAGUGGCGAAGGCGGCUUGCUGGACGAUGACUGACGCUGAGGCUCGAAAGCGUGGGGAGCAAACAGGAUUAGAUACCCGAGAA
RNAcentral lists this ribosomal RNA (448 nucleotides) under uncultured bacterium. RNAcentral describes it as "partial 16S ribosomal RNA". It matches the Rfam family "Bacterial small subunit ribosomal RNA", at positions 330 to 792 of the family's 1533-position model. The record is from RNAcentral.